CUGAAGUCGAUGGCGCGCUCGUGGUCGCCGAUGCUGCCCAGCUCGCCGGCGGGGGGGCGCGGCCCGGGUCUGGCCGCGGGGGGCGCCGCGGGGGCCGCCUUGCCGCCGUACGCAGCAGCCAAGCAGUCCGCCUCGUAGUAGAAGUUGGCCACUUCCAUGGAUUUAAAGGCAGGCGGCGGCGGCGGCAGGGGGAGACAUGCUGGGUCCCAGGCCACCAGGCGUUGCAUGAACGCGGGUGCCCGGGGAGGGGGCCUGGGGCUGCCCGCUCCGGCCGGCCCGCAGGUGGCGCGGCCUCCCUGCUCUGAGCUGUCGCCGCUGCGUCGCUGCUGCUGCUGCCGCCGCUGCCGGGGUGGCCGCUAUUAGUGAGGGGGCUGGUGGCUGGACCCUCGGGUGGGUCCCCUUCCCAGUCCCGUGCGCGGCUCUGACUCGC
RNAcentral lists this long non-coding RNA (430 nucleotides) under Homo sapiens (human). RNAcentral describes it as "LHRI_LNC663.1". Lineage: Eukaryota; Metazoa; Chordata; Mammalia; Primates; Hominidae. The record is from RNAcentral.